UUCGACCUCUCCUCGCUUCUCUCCUGCAUGUCUCUCUCUCUCUCUCUCUCUCUCUCUCGCAGUCGUCACCGCCGCCAGCCAUCCUCCCCAUCGCCCCCUUACCCCCGUCAUCUCGCACUCACUCCACCCCUCUCACAGUCGCCGCCGCUAGCCAUCUCGUAGGAUGGAGACGCUGGCCAUCUCCAUCUCCUCUCUGUCGCCGUCUGAUCCAGAUGCGGCCGCAGUCUGCCGGCGCCGCAGGCGGAGGAGACGCGCCUAGGAGGAGCUUUCUUCAUCACACGCGGCAGCCGGCGUAGCUCUGCCUCCCACACUCCCAUCGUCUCCGUCACACCCGGUCACUGUACACGGAGGGGGAGGAGUGGUGGCCGGCAGAGAUCUGCCUCCUUCAUCCAGGUGGAGGCGUUCGGCGGCGGCCUGGCCGUGGCGUUUUAGUCGACGGACCCGUACGGGGACUUCCGGGUGUCGAUGCAGGAGAUGGUGGCCGCACACGGGGCCGGCGGCUGGGGCUGGGGCUGGCUGGAGGAGAUGCUGGGGUGGUACCUGCGCGCCAAUGGCAAGGACACGCACGACACCAUCGUGACGGCCUUCGUCAACAUCAUCGUCUCUGUCGCCGACCCCGGCCGCGGCUCCUCCUGCUCGUCCCAGAUCUCGUCCUGCGCGUCCGUGGACGGGGAUCAGUAAACUAAUCUUACUUCCGUGGCAUGGUUAAUGUGGUGAGAGUGAACUUUGCCGAGCUAGCUAGCUAAUGAUGGCGGAGUGUGGUAGAUGAGUGAGAGGGCUGCGGCGUCGAGGUCCGAGGGGCGGCGAUGGAAAAGAUAAGGGAUGAGAGGCACGCGUGUGAGCAGGUGGAACAAUGCAAGCGCCUCAGUGACCCGUCAGUCUCCAACAAGGGUUUUGAACUGAAUGCUCAUCAGAUUACCCAGGUUUGGUUUUAUUGUAUGGGUGCUUUGUUCUUUAAUUUGCAGAACAUGUUUGAACAACGUUUCGGCCUUCACGGAUUAGUAUAGUACCCUAACUGUCGCAUAAAAGUGGAAGAAAGUAAGUGCAGUACCAUAUUAUAAGCACUGUCAAGUUAUCUGCAUUGCUCGUUUGGUUAUUGCUUUGAGAGAGUCAUUCUUCACGGAUUGCUCGGUACCAGCCAAUAUUAAACACCCUUGUGUAUCUGAAUUGUCGCACGGUUGUGCUAGAUAGUACUGCAUUGGAUGUUUAUGUUUGAUAAUUGAGUUGUACUUUUCAUACAUAUCUGUUGGUAGAGCCGUUCUUACUUCAUUCAAAGGCUUGAAAUGCUACCGUUGCAAUGUUCUCCACAAGAUAUAGAUAUUUUUUCUGAGGUCAAGUAGGCACAGGGAAGUAUUAGCAUCAAAUAGCUGGUGUGGCAUGUUGUAUGCAUGGAGGGUACACCAUCAAGAUGUCUAUAUGUUGCAAAAGCAAAGAUACAUAUCUUGCUUGGAGAGUUAUCUCUUCAGCUAUGCUUUAAAUUGGCGGGUUACUGGGACUUAAACCUCAAAUUGAAAAGACUCUCGGGACUACUAGGGCAACCUUUUGGUAUAAUGCAUGAACCAACUUGCCAAAAAGCACCUUUAACUUGAACAAAUGUUUUUGACAGGAGCAAUUUUUUCUUCCUGUAACAGGAGAUUGGGUUAAUCUCCACCAUCAUCGACAGGGAGAAAUCAACGGAAUCAGUUGUUUUGUGACUGAUUCCAUCGCAUCUCUGGUGUACACGAUUUUGAUUUCUGAACAAUGUCAUUGUGUAGGUCCGCCGUCAGCAGGGGUUGUUUUCCUGGGUUAUGAGCUGAUUGCUAGGGAGGUGUACACUAGAGGACAUGUUCACCACUGAUAAUUCAAUGGAGUGUGUAGACUGAUAUAGUACCUACUACCUACUCAAAGGAGGAAAGGUCUAAGUCCCAGGUGAAUCUGUGCUUCUUUUGAACCUUCUCUCUCUAGCAUAUCCCUUUGUUUCACCAAACUGUUGUAGUAUGGGGAUUAUCUUAACAAGAGCACUUUUAUUUUUGUCACAUAUUUAUAUGGGUAAAGUUUUCGCAGUUAAUAAGUUGUUCCAAAGAGUGCUUAGCCUGAUGCUUUGAAGAUCAAGUUUCAGCGUGGCUUACAAUGUUAGAUCAGUUUGAGUUUCUGUACCAAGUUGAAAGCCUAAUGCUCCAAAUGGUACAUUCUAAUUUUAUAACUAUCCCUUAUUUUCUUAAUCUGAAAAUGACAAACCACCCGUAUGCUCUCUAAAUUCAGGGUAAAACUGAACCUAAAUUCAGAUAUAUUUUGAUGUAAUCAUACAUUAGUUGCAACUAGAUUAUAUGAGCAUAUCAGACUAUAUGGUCUCAUAGACCUUUAGAAGUUGUUGAUAUUCUCUAUUUUUGGCCACAUCAUUUCUGUAAAAAUAGUAGACUGAAGCUUGUACUGUCAAACAGAGUUGCUAUUGUAUUGAUGCCUUGGAAUGUUGUUAAAUCAAGUAAUGCAGCUGAAUUUGUCUGCUACAUGUUAAUCUUGCUCUUUGAUACUUGUUCACAAAUUGUUUACUUGAUGCUUCAUGGCAACUGCUAUUCUUACAAGACUAUCAAUCUGAGAUCAUAACUCAGAAAAAUGAGAUGUGCACAUAUGUUUAUAUUUUGAUUUACUAAUGGUUUCCUUGAUGUGAAUGUUUUCUUGCAUUAUCUGAUUUCUAAUCUGCAGUAAAUGUGACACAAGUUUAUCAUUUCUCAUUGUAUGGAGUGAACCGAGACAUCAACUAGCUGGACGUGGAAGUGUUGUUCCUGAAGGAGAAGUAUGAGGUUGUGCUUGACAAGAUCUCCAGGCUGGAGGAGAUGGCUUCUCUGUUCAUUUAUAUUCUCCUUGAAGCAUGAGAUGUCGGAUUCAGAGCAACAAGGCGACUAAAUGAUGGGGUUAUGGCAAGGAGGCACACAUAUGGAUGAUCGGUGAGGUCGCUAGAGCUUAUGAGAGGGGAAUGGAUUCUGUCGCCACGAUGUUGAAUGGGACGCGCACCACUUUUUUUGUACCUAUAUUAAAGUAUAUUUGUGUGAUGAGCAGCUACAGCUUGUGUUUGCAAAUAUGUUCCUUUUUAGCUUUAACCAUUUUUUGUGAAGAGAAUAUUUUGUAAACCAGUGCAAACUUUGCCUAAAUUACCAUCCAUUUGGCAAAAUGUUAAAGCAGAUUAGAUCAUUCCUCGCAAUAAUCAUUGGAGUUAAGUUUCAAUCCA
Molecule: long non-coding RNA, 3205 nt
Organism: Triticum dicoccoides
Lineage: Eukaryota; Viridiplantae; Streptophyta; Magnoliopsida; Poales; Poaceae
Exons: 5
Source: RefSeq, a predicted model, not a curated record